This 490-nucleotide ribosomal RNA is filed under the name uncultured bacterium. RNAcentral describes it as "bacterial SSU rRNA". It matches the Rfam family "Bacterial small subunit ribosomal RNA", at positions 15 to 518 of the family's 1533-position model. The record is from RNAcentral.
GAUUAUGGCUCAGGAUGAACGCUGCGGCAGGCUAAUACAUGCAAGUUGAACGGUAACAUGUUGUAGCAAUACGAUGAUGACGAGUGGCGCACGGGUGCGUAACACGUGUGUAACCUACCUUAUACAGGAACAUAACGUUGAGAAAUCGGCGCUAACAUUCCAUAAUAUUAUUUGUAGGCAUCUAUGAAUAAUUAAAACUCCGGUGGUAUAAGAUGGGCACGCGUUCCAUUAGCUAGUUGGUAAGGUAACGGCUUACCAAGGCAACGAUGGAUAGGGGUUCUGAGAGGAUAAUCCCCCACACUGGAACUGAGACACGGUCCAGACUCCUACGGGAGGCAGCAGUAAGGAAUAUUGGGCAAUGGAGGCAACUCUGACCCAAGCCAUGCCGCGUGCAGGAAGACGGCCCUAUGGGUUGUAAACUGCUUUUAGUAGUGAAGAUGAUGACAGUAGCUACAGAAAAAGCACCGGCUAACUUCGUGCCAGCCGCCGC